Small nuclear RNA from Macadamia integrifolia, 101 nucleotides. The record is from RefSeq and is a predicted model, not a curated record. NCBI's taxonomy places the organism in Eukaryota, Viridiplantae, Streptophyta, Magnoliopsida, Proteales, Proteaceae.
GUAUCAUCAGAGACAUUAGAUAAAAUUGGAAGGAUAUAGAGAAAAUGCCUGGCCCCUAUGCAAGGAAAUCGUGCACUAACUGGGAAAUGACCCAAAUCAUU